AGGGAAUAUUGCGCAAUGGACGGAAGUCUGACGCAGCGACGCCGCGUGAGCGAUGAAGGCCUUCGGGUCGUAAAGCUCUGUCCUUGGGGAAGAAGGUCUUCGGACUUGACGGUACCCAAGAAGAAAGCCCCGGCUAACUACGUUCCAGCAGCCGCGGUAAUACGUAGGGGGCGAGCGUUGUCCGGAAUUACUGGGCGUAAAGGGUGCGUAGGCGGCCCUUUAAGUCAGAUGUGAAAGGCCACGGCUUAACCGUGGGAUUGCAUUUGAAACUGGAGGGCUUGAGUGUCGGAGAGGGUAGUGGAAUUCCCAGUGUAGCGGUGAAAUGCGUAGAUAUUGGGAGGAACACCAGUGGCGAAGGCGACUACCUGGCCGAUAACUGACGCUGAGGCACGAAAGCUAUGGGAGCAAACA
RNAcentral lists this ribosomal RNA (411 nucleotides) under uncultured Eubacteriales bacterium. RNAcentral describes it as "bacterial SSU rRNA". It matches the Rfam family "Bacterial small subunit ribosomal RNA", at positions 356 to 774 of the family's 1533-position model. The record is from RNAcentral. Lineage: Bacteria; Bacillati; Bacillota; Clostridia; Eubacteriales.